Molecule: long non-coding RNA, 3721 nt
Organism: Numida meleagris (helmeted guineafowl)
Lineage: Eukaryota; Metazoa; Chordata; Aves; Galliformes; Numididae
Exons: 5
Source: RefSeq, a predicted model, not a curated record
AAAACAACAGCAACAGCCUCAUUUUGUAGCCCUCCUCCCAACACAAGGCUGUUCUUAGACUGUUUUUCUUUCUCGGAGUCUUUACAGAAAUUAACUGCUUCUGUGCUGGAAGAUCCCAGGCACUUCAGCUGCUUCUUUGGAAGCCUCAGAGCAUAGCCUGACUGGGGGCAACAUUUUCAAAUGCAUCCAGUUGGCUUGGGAACUAAAAUCCUUUCUUUUAAAAGUGGAUGUUUGUGUAGGCUGCUUCACGCACCGCUGGAAAUGCACCACUCAAAUGCUGUGGCAAUAUGCACAACACAACAAUUCCAGUAGAAAGAAACAGAAUAAACAUAUUUAGGCAUUUUUUCCAUUGGAUGCAGAAUGCUUAUGCAUGCAUUGCAUUAAAUGCUGGGUGCAACAUGCACAAUGUCCCAGAAGUGAAUCACAGCACCUGUGCUGUCCCAAGUCUGAACACCACUGCUUUUUGUCUUACUCUCUGGUCAGACAGCUCUUGGUCUCCUGGCUGUAAAGCACCAAAAUGGAUGGAGAACACCAACACCUGACCUAUGCCCCUGUUGUGGAGGCUCUGUGGUCAUUUGGCAGGGAGAAGUAGAGCUGCAUGGGAUCCCUCCCCACCUUAAGGACCUGUGAGACUUCCAAGCAUCACUUGCUCCCUGUGACCCAGAAUCUGCAGAGAGCACAGGUUCUGGAAAGGAAGGAGGCACUACACAGAAGACAGCAGUGAGAAUGAGAUUCUCUCUGCUCAGCAGGAGUCUUUAAAAUAUUGCUGUCCUGCUGCAGCAUCAACACCUCAGAACCUGGGUUCUCAUCCAGAAGAUACUCAAAAUGUCUUGUUCACAAGGAGUACUGGGGAAUUAAAUAUUCUACGCAGACUAUAUUGCACUAAGUCUUGGAAAAGAAGACAACCUGCUGGUGAUCUGACAGAGCUCCGAUUCCUGAGAGGCACAAGAGGGGAGAAUGCAGAAACUCCGAAGCUGGGCUAAAGAAGAAAAUUUCCUUCGGCCAAACAAAAUGGUGGGCUGGAAGCUCAAUAAAAUGUGCAAAAUGCUUCGGCCAGACUGAACACCAUUGCAUCUACUUGUUCCUAGUGGGGGUAGGAGGAAUUAGUAGCUCCUACGUCAUGACAGCACUUGAGAAUAAAAGGAUGAACCAUAGAGAGACCUCUCUGAUUAGGCCUUAUCACUGUGUGAUCUGAUCCUUCUGAAAGAUUCAAUGUGUCUUGAAAUAGUUUGAUUAUGGAAAUUCUUCUUUUAGCAGAGAAGAGGCAAUUCCUUUUGUCCAGAAACUCAAUAACUUCAUUUAGUACUUUUUUGAAGUUUCCUUCAAAUGGGCUAUUUACAGGAAUCAGACAAUCUCUUCUGGAAGUACAACUGAAUGUGUCCUGAAAGAACAGAGAAGACUCUGAUAGCAACAUACUAACAAUACUUUUUGCAUAGAAGGGGAAAAAUGAGUGAAAACUUUUUUUUUAAUCAGGUCUCAAGAGUGUCUUCUGCAGCCCUUCAUAGCCAGAUGAAAGGAUCUAUGUGAUGUUUACACAGACUCCUGCAGAGUAAUUGCCAUAGCAGCUCAUAUAAAAGCAACAGUAGAAAGGUGUAAAAGUCAUUUGCUAGGAAGAAAUAGGAAGUGAUCAGCAACACUUUAAGCAAAUUAUUGCCAUGAAAUCACUCUCUCAGCUUGAGAUAAGUACUUGGGGUCUGUUAAAGCUAUAAGAGGCCUGUGACUUCUCCUCCCAGUACCUUUUUCUGAAAAGAUUAAUUCAUAAAAAGAGGCGAUGCAGUGGACAUAUGCAUUGAACUCACACUGAAUAUACCUGUCCUCAGGCUAUGGCUGGCUCCCCCGCAUAUGUGUGAAUUAAUGUGUGUGUGCAUGUUCAAAGACUUCAAAAAUGUAAUUAUGAAUGAUGUCCUUUCGCAGCAAAACUUAAGUCUGUAUAAUUUAAACCCCUUAGAAGUGGCCAUUCGUAGAAGAGCCAUCUGCAAAUGUCUAUGGUAGGUAGCAGAGCUUUGAGCUGCCCUGAGAGUGAAGCACUUGGCACAGGUGAGCUGGGGAAGGAACAUGCUUUUGAGGGAAACCUGCAGGACAGGAGGAAUUUUGGGUCUGCCUGUGAAGCUAGGCCAGCUCUGCGGACACCCUGGCUCCCUAGGAAGGAGUUAUGCUCUCCUGGCACCCUGCCUGUGGAUGAGAAAACUUUGCCCCUGUGAAUCCCCAUCCUGCCCUUGGCAAGGGGCCACGGACUCACUGAGCAUUUGUCUGCUUGUUCCAGCUCCUGCUUAUUACCUCCAAAGCAUACUUAAACUGCAGAUCCAGUCUGUUGUUAGAGGAAACUCAGAAGUGUUUUCUUCAGAAAUAGUCCCAUUCCAUCAUAUUCCUGGGUGCGCAGGUUUUGGGGCUUAUUUAAAAAUAAAACAAAACCUCUUUUUUUUUUCUUUUUUUUUUUUUGUCUUUUGGGAGCAGAUGGAGUGGAUGUGAAAAAUGAAUAUGAAAUCAAACACUUUGCCUUUUACUCAAAAUUCAACCUUCUUCCCUUCACCCAUGAUGUCACAAGUAGGAUUAGUAGUGCAGAUGGGGACUAAGCAGUUGAGCUCUGGAGAAAGAAAUUUUCAUUCUGUAAAUCUUUCUGAGAUAAACUUGGCUUUCCAGAGAUGCAGGGCUCUAGGGUUAUGAUACAAAUAGAAAAACAGAAAUAGUAACAGGAUAUGGUAAUAUAGACUGUGUGUACAUCUGUGUCUGUGUGCACAGAACAGGGUUAGCAGGCAGGGAACUUGGGAAUGGUGCAGACGGGAUGAGGUGGGAUGGUCUUCUGAUAUGGGCAGGAGAUGGCAGGGAUGGGCUGCCUCUGGCAUGACAAAAUGGUUCUUGGCACUUGCAAACUGUGCCCGAGCAACACCCAGGAGCAGGCCAGGAGGCUGCUGUGGGCGCUGCUCCCAGGAGCCCACUGACAGCCAAGUGGUAGAGGCAGACAUCGGCCAAUGCUCAAGCCCUUUCCCUGGCCUCACUACAUUUACUGGAGCAGACACAGCCAGAGCAAUGCCAGGAUAUGUACAAAGCAGGUGAUUUGGGAAAAGUGAGAUCUCUGCCACAGAGAGGGGAGUCAGUUUCAGAGUUCCUAGAGGGGUCUCUGAGGAUGGACAGAGGCAUUGCAGGCACUUCUUGAAUCAGCGACAAGAAACUGCUGGCCAGCAAGAAUGCUUCAAGUUCCCCAUGCAGUUACAGUGGAAAAGAGCCAAGAAAUCCCCAGCUACCAGUUUUUAGGUAUCAUUCUCUGUAUUUGGGGAACACAAGCAGCUGCAGGGAUAAUCUGCUCCAGCCACAGUCUGCCUCUGUCAGACAGAAGAGAUUUGAAAGUGCCACAGAGUCAGGGCUCAGUUUUUUGACCCAGGCCCCUCAGAGUCAAGCUGCCACACAGGCUUUCAUAAGGGUAGCUCUGAAAAGCUGUGGUAAGCAUUUGCUAUUGAAUUGCCCCUUUCUGAUCAUCCCAGAACCCCAUAUACUACAGCACUUGCCAACUUACUUGGAGGUGAAUUCACCCAGAAGGAAGGAUGUAAGGAUGCUGCUGUUCUUUUAGCUGCCUCACCACUAGCCUCAGUCAUACAAGAUACUGCCAAUAGUUUUUUUACUCUAAUGCUCAUUCUUCUUACACUUAUUUGCCUGUAAGCACUGGUCAUUCUCAGUUUAUUUUUGAAAAAUAAAAUGUUUUACCUUUUUUUCUCAUCUGUCAUAA